Long non-coding RNA from Callorhinchus milii (elephant shark), 1179 nucleotides. RefSeq lists it as uncharacterized. Lineage: Eukaryota; Metazoa; Chordata; Chondrichthyes; Chimaeriformes; Callorhinchidae. The record is from RefSeq and is a predicted model, not a curated record. The transcript has 4 exons.
GCAAAAAUAGUUACCACAUUUGACAACACUAAUUACUUGUGAUGUGCUUUGAGAGUCUUUUAACCAGGAAGGUUGGUUGAGGCCAGGAGGCUGAAUAUUCACAAGAUGGCUUGGUUAAAGAAGGCCCAUCUGCUCUCAUGCUUCCAGAAUGCCUUCACAACCCAAAUUUUGAUAAAAAUAGUUGGAUUGGCCCUGGAAGUGCUACUUUAACAUAAAAAUCAAAGGGAUCAGUAGAAAUCACAGAGUAGAGGCAGGUGAGAAGAUCACAGCAGUUGAAUGGGCUUACAUUGACAGCACAGAAGCUUCAUAAGGUUAUUUAUGGUUGUAGCUUGCAGCUUGAGACAGCCGCAUGCUUAAAUGUUUUGAAAAACAAUUCAACAAGAUCACUGGGGAUUAGGAAUGCUUGCAAAAGUUACUCAAGAUGAAAAGAGUGCUGAUUGAGAAGGGUGUGCAAGUAUCCAAAAGAAAAUCUAUACACGUUGGGAAGAAACACAUAUACCGUCAAAAUCUCACCAGUGAUCUGCUGGUACAAGAUUGGAUCAAAGCUUUGCUUUUCUAUGACCGAUGCACACUAAAGUCAGGCAUUAUUGCAGGGUCGGUGUUCACACAAAAGGAAGUGAAGAUUUGAGUGAAUCAGUCAGUCGACACCAGCAAGAAAUCCAUUUGCCUGUUUCAGCUAGCAUUGUGAUCACAAAUGUUAAUAGUACAAGUAUUUUUGAAGUAGAUUUUGACAAAUUAAGUUUCUUCAACUGCGAUGCAACACAUUAAUGGCUUGAGGAGAACUAAUUGAGAUAAAUUUCUGUGGUCUAUAUCUAUGAUACCACAACUUAGAAUAUCAGAUAUAUAAAUUCCCCUCCUCUCUUCCCCCCCUCCCCCCAUUAACCACCACCAUCAUCAUGCCCUUCACUAUGUUAUUCAAUACCGAGUUCCAUUGAGCGCAUAAAUAUGUAACAGUUCCAUUUUGUACAAUGGCUAUCAUAAAACACAUUGUUAGAUUUGUGAGCUAUUAUCCACACUGAGAAGAUGAUGUCCCUGCUUAAAGUCUUAUCAAAGGCUCUGUUUCUGGGAAAUUGGACACGUGGGCAUGAUUUAAGAACCAAUGUCUCUGACAAGGUCUUCCUUUAAAUGUAAUAUACUCUUAAGUCAAUUUAGCUUCAUACAGGUACAGAAUGCAUCCAA